Molecule: long non-coding RNA, 750 nt
Filed under: Marmota monax (woodchuck)
Lineage: Eukaryota; Metazoa; Chordata; Mammalia; Rodentia; Sciuridae
Source: RNAcentral
CUUAGUGAAUAGCUAAGUAAUACCUAAGAAUCAAAGUAAUCCUGAAAAAAUUUCUUGUAGAUUUUCAGAAGUAAAGGUCAUUCUGAUGAUGAGGUCUCAGUUGGAAAUAAAGUACAUGUUAUUAGGAACUGUGGUAAAGGUGAUUAUGGUAAACUGUGGUAAAAGUGAUUAUGGCAAAGAAUGUGGUUAAACUGUGUUUGUAUCCUAGUGUUUCCUAGAAGGUAGAUGUUGUAAGAAAUUCAAUUGUAUAUUUGGGUAAGAAAAUUUCUCAGCAUAGUGUUGGAUAUUCUUGGCUAUUUGUACUAUAUGAUAAAUGACUUAAAAUGAAGUUGUUAAUAAAAAAAAUCAGGAGAACUUUAAAAUUUGGAUAAUCCUCAGCCUAUACAUAUUGUUAAAAAUGAGAUGGCCUGGAAGGAGAAGAUAGCCAGAAGAAGAUGCAUCUAAUGAGCUCCUGAUUCCGAAUGACACCUGCAGAGAUGCCAACAUUAAAUCACCAGCCUUUGCCUUUUCUCUUGUGGCAACAGCCCAGUCUGCUCCAAGCAUUAUAACAGGGACUGUGUCUGUCCUCCCACCAGCUGCUCUGAGUACUUCUACUCAGCUUGCCCUAUUAUAAUGCCUGUGAUGGGACAAAUACAGACCUCUAUCAUGCUAAAGUGAAUGCCUCACUGGACUGCUGCAAUAGUCCCUCCCGUGCCUGAGGCUGGGUUCCAUCUACACACCCUAUAAAUACCCUUACAAGGUGAAAGUGGU